This 503-nucleotide ribosomal RNA is filed under the name uncultured bacterium. RNAcentral's name for it is "bacterial SSU rRNA". It matches the Rfam family "Bacterial small subunit ribosomal RNA", at positions 28 to 517 of the family's 1533-position model. The record is from RNAcentral.
GAUGAACGCUAGCUACAGGCUUAACACAUGCAAGUCGAGGGGAAACGACAUCGAAAGCUUGCUUUUGAUGGGCGUCGACCGGCGCACGGGUGAGUAACGCGUAUCCAACCUGCCCACCACUUGGGGAUAACCUUGCGAAAGUAAGACUAAUACCCAAUGAUAUCCCACGAAGGCAUCCGAAUGGGAUUAAAGAUUUAUCGGUGAUGGAUGGGGAUGCGUCUGAUUAGCUUGUUGGCGGGGUAACGGCCCACCAAGGCAACGAUCAGUAGGGGUUCUGAGAGGAAGGUCCCCCACAUUGGAACUGAGACACGGUCCAAACUCCUACGGGAGGCAGCAGUGAGGAAUAUUGGUCAAUGGGCGAGAGCCUGAACCAGCCAAGUAGCGUGCAGGACGACGGCCCUAUGGGUUGUAAAUUGCUUUUAUAAGGGAAUAAAGUGAGUCUCGUGAGACUUUUUGCAUGUACCUUAUGAAUAAGGACCGGCUAAUUCCGUGUCCAGCAGCCG